AUGAACGCUGGCGGCGUGCUUAACACAUGCAAGUCGAACGGGAUCCAAGGGGUGCUUGCACUUUUUGGUGAGAGUGGCGAACGGGUGAGUAACACGUGAGUAACCUGUCCUUUUCUUUGGGAUAAGCAUUCGAAAGGGUGUUUAAUACCUUAUGUUCUGUCUGCCUCGCAUGGGGUGGGUGGGAAAGGCUUUGGCCGGAUUUGGGUGGGCUCGCGGUCUAUCAGCUUGUUGGUGGGGUGAUGGCUUACCAAGGCUUUGACGGGUAGCCGGCCUGAGAGGGUGGUCGGUCACAUUGCGACUGAGAUACGGCCCAGACUCCUGCGGGAGGCAGCAGUGGGGGAUAUUGCACAAUGGGCGAAAGCCUGAUGCAGCGACGCCGCGUGGGGGAUGAAGGCCUUCGGGUUGUAAACUUCUUUUGCUCUGAACAAGGCAUGCCAGUGGGUGUGUUGAGUGUAGGGGUUGAUUAGCGCCGGCUAACUACGUG
RNAcentral lists this ribosomal RNA (484 nucleotides) under uncultured bacterium. RNAcentral describes it as "partial 16S ribosomal RNA". It matches the Rfam family "Bacterial small subunit ribosomal RNA", at positions 29 to 507 of the family's 1533-position model. The record is from RNAcentral.